UGGCGAACGGGUGAGUAAUACAUCGGAACGUGUCCGCUCGUGGGGGACAACCAGCCGAAAGGUUGGCUAAUACCGCAUGAGUUCUACGGAAGAAAGAGGGGGACCCGCAAGGGCCUCCCGCGAGCGGAGCGGCCGAUGACUGAUUAGCCUGUUGGUGAGGUAACGGCUCACCAAAGCAACGAUCAGUAGCUGGUCUGAGAGGACGACCAGCCACACUGGGACUGAGACACGGCCCAGACUCCUACGGAAGGCAGCAG
Molecule: ribosomal RNA, 257 nt
Filed under: uncultured bacterium
Lineage: Bacteria
Description: partial 16S ribosomal RNA
Rfam family: Bacterial small subunit ribosomal RNA
Source: RNAcentral